GUGGCUUUGUCCUCCAAUGGAGUGUAAUCAAACAGCGCUCGCAUGUAGACCUGAAGAAAACACAUGAAGAACAACAAUCGUACAUGAGGACAAGAACAAAAGUUGAAAGACAUGAGGAGCUGCCAUUGACCUCUCUCAGUUCAUCACCGACAUGCACCAGACCUGAGGACAGAGGAGGACUACCUGAUUUACAGAUUCA
Molecule: long non-coding RNA, 199 nt
Organism: Sinocyclocheilus anshuiensis
Lineage: Eukaryota; Metazoa; Chordata; Actinopteri; Cypriniformes; Cyprinidae
Exons: 3
Source: RefSeq, a predicted model, not a curated record